AGAGGACCCUCAGUAAGCAUAGUACCAGCAAAGUUGGCAGCACAUAUAGUAGGAGAUGACUGAGCAUGAGAAGUCUGAGCAGUGGAUUCACCCAAAUUGGACUGUUGGAGCAGAUUCAUCAACUGAUCAUAAUGAUGUCUGCUCAACCCAGGAAUAGCAGAAUUACGUCCAUCCACAUGCUGGACAGGAGAACGACCCUCAAUUUCAAAAGCAGGAGAAUCAUGGCUAGUAGAAUAAGGAGAGGAUGUGAAGUCAACACCAGUAGUGACAUGAGCAGCAGUGGGUCUCUUGGCUUUGUUAAACCUGAUACUUUGAGGAAAACCAUGAAGCUUGAAGCACUUAUCAAUUAAGUGUCCAGACUUCUUGCAAUAUCUGCAGAAUAAGGGUCCUUUGGAGUCUGGACUGAUCAAAACUAACUCUCUGGGCAUACUGUCUGGGAGGAGGAGAGUUGAGCAAGGGAGCUGGAUUGAAGGAAGGUUUAGUAUUGAUAGUGAAGGACAUAGAAUCAGGAUAUAACUCUCUGGGCAUACUGUCUGGGAGUAGGAGAGUUGAGCAAUGGAGCUGGAUUGAAGGAAGGUUUAGUAUUGACAGUGAAGGACAUAGAAUCAGGAUUGAACUGGGAGACAGACUGAACUUGUCUCUAUUUUUCAUCAUUGAGGAGAAUGUUAUUGACAUUGUCAAGACUAGGAGGAGGUUGCAUCAUUAACAGGUUGCUCCUCACCCCCAUAUAUGUCUCAUUAAGACCAUAAGGAAUUGAAAUACCUUAUUCUCCUCAUCCUCCUUUAUAAUGCUAGAUCUGGCAUCACAGCUACAUCUCUGUCCAUGAUUUGGGCACAUUGUCCCUAACUCAUCCCAUAACCCUUUGAGUUUGUUGAAAUAGGAGGCUAUAUCUAGGGGUCCUUGAGAAGAAUGGGUAAGUUCACGUUUCAAUUCAAAAAAUUUGUUCCUAUUGGCUGUGCCAUAUCUGGCUUCAUGUUGUGACCAUAUAACCUAGGCAGUCUCAGAGUAUUGAACACUUUCAGCAAUUUGAGGGGACAGAGUGGUAGUCAACCAGGAGAUGACCAUGUUAUUGCAUAUGUCACAUAGUCUCUGUUCAGUCAGAUUAGUGGUUGAUCUAGAAGAAGAUCCAUCAACAAAAGCAAUCUUGUUUUUAGCAGUUAAGGCGACUAUCUCCUUUCUCCUCCAACCCCCAUAGCCAUUACCCCAGAAGGGGAUAGGAACAAGAGAAAUUCCGGAGACAUCAAAAGAGUAAACAAAUAGGGGAUUUGUUGGGUCAAUAGGUGGGGGAUUAACAGGGUUCACAUUAACAGGGUUCACAUCCGCCAUCGGAUACAGGAUAAUAGAGGCGAGAAAGGAGAGAUACAAUAACUAUGAACUACACAAUACAGCAACAAAGGUACAUGCAAGCCCUAAUUUAGUGGAAUAAUAGGGUUACCAGGCUUCUACGCAACCGGAGAAGAUACGGCCUUCAAAGAAUUGCAGAGAAACCCCAGCAUGUGAAGAAAACCCUAGCUUUGGUUGUCAGAAAACCCGAACUUGCAGAAAACCCGGUAGAAUCAGGUACAAGAGAUGUCGGAAAAUCACCCUAACAUCUCGUUGAAAGAAUCAACACAAAAUAACUCCGAUUUCACCAAAAAUCAAAGAAAAACUCCAGAAUCUUCACCGUUAAAAAAAACAGAAAUCAGCACCAAAAACGCCAUGAACUCAGACCAAAAGAUCGGGGAAGAUAGAGAAUAUGUCCAGGAGAAAUAUCCAGGCUCUUAUACCAUGAAAACAUGGUGAAUCGAAGUUAAAUCAAAGCUGGGAAGAGGUAAAAUAGAGAGAGAAAGUAGAGAGAGAAGAGAGAGAAAUGUUCUCUGUAUUGAAAAUGAAAAUGAACCGACUGAGCUCUUCUCGAUCCUUCUGACCCUAUAUCAACGUGGGUCAGAAAUUACAAUUGGGCCGAUUCUAACCCGAAUGGGAACAAGCCCAAUACUAAAUACAUAAGCGAGCCCACGGGGAAGAUAGAGAAUAUGUCCAGGAGAAAUAUCCAGGCUCUUAUACCAUGAAAACAUGGUGAAUCGAAGUUAAAUCAAAGCUGGGAAGAGGUAAAAUAGAGAGAGAAAGUAGAGAGAGAAGAGAGAGAAAUGUUCUCUGCAUUGAAAAUGAAAAUGAACCGACUGAGCUAUUCUCUAUCCUUCUGACCUUAUAUCAACGUGGGUCAGAAAUUACAAUUGGGCCGAUUCUAACCCGAAUGGGAACAAGCCCAAUACUAAAUACAUAACUAGCCCAAGUCUGUUAUACAUACAAUAUAUAUCAAUAUACA
Molecule: long non-coding RNA, 2305 nt
Filed under: Nicotiana benthamiana
Lineage: Eukaryota; Viridiplantae; Streptophyta; Magnoliopsida; Solanales; Solanaceae
Description: long non-coding RNA (NBEN_LNC029070)
Source: RNAcentral